GCACCACUGGAUAGCCCAGUUGGGUAGAGCAACAGAUUUCUAAUCUGUCUGUCGCGGGUUCGAAUCCCGCUCCAUGCA
RNAcentral lists this transfer RNA (78 nucleotides) under Xanthomonas arboricola. RNAcentral describes it as "tRNA-Arg". The stretch from base 8 to 74 matches the Rfam family "tRNA". From Rfam's summary of the family: Transfer RNA (tRNA) molecules are approximately 80 nucleotides in length. The record is from RNAcentral. Lineage: Bacteria; Pseudomonadati; Pseudomonadota; Gammaproteobacteria; Lysobacterales; Lysobacteraceae.